AUGGCGGACUACGGUGGAGAGUACGGGCACCCGUACCCGCGCGUCGACGAGUACGGCAACCCAGUGCCGCCGGUCGACCAGUACGGCAACCCCAUCCCAAGGGAACCGGGCCAGGUUCCGGCGUACACCUCGGGGGGCGCCGCUCCGCCCUACAGCUCUGACGGCGCGGGCGCGGUGACGUCGGCCGACUAUGGAGCGGGUGUCACGCCGGGCUACGGCCUGAGCGGCGCCGUGCACCCGCAGGAGAGCGUGGUAGGCGGUGCCGUUUUCCCGUCCGGCACGGCGCACACGCACGAGGGCGCGCUAAGCGGCAGCCUCGCCCCUGGCGAGACCACGGCAUACGCUUAUGAGGGCAUGGUCGGCAGUGGCAUCGGCACCGGCGACCAGAUCCAGCCCACCAAAGAGGGGCACACGACGCUGGGCGAGACUUUGCGGCGCUCCUCCAGCUCUAGCUCCAGCUCGUCGUCCGAGGAUGACGGGCAAGGCGGGAGGCAGAGGAAGAAGAAGAGCAUGAAGGCGAAGAUAAAGGAGAAACUCCCGGGCAGCCACAAGCAGGAGGAGCACAAGGCCGGGCACACGGUGCCACCGGCUGGGACGGGGACGCACGAGAAGAUCAAGGAGAAGCUCCCUGGACACCACUGA
Molecule: ribosomal RNA, 642 nt
Filed under: Triticum aestivum (bread wheat)
Lineage: Eukaryota; Viridiplantae; Streptophyta; Magnoliopsida; Poales; Poaceae
Description: partial small subunit ribosomal RNA
Source: RNAcentral